CAUGAACUAUGAGCAGGUUAUCUUAGAUAAGAGCAAAGAUAGGGACGUUUUAGGCAAUUUCUUGCCAAGUCUCAUUUAUGUCUCGAGACAGAAAAGUAAGACUUCUCCUCACCACUUUAAAGCUGGAGCUCUGAAUGUUCUGGUAUGAGUUAAAUGAUCUAAUGACUUAUUCUGGUAUCUUAUCCAAUUGAUUAGUUUUUAUUUUAUGCUUUCUAAUUCUCUCUUAAAAUUUGGAAUGUUCGGAAGUUACGAGUAUCAGCUGUUAUGACCAAUGCGCCAUUAAUCUUGACCCAAGACUGUGACAUGUACUCGAAUGAUCCUCAAACUCCUCUCCGGGUGCUAUGUUAUCUAUUAGACCCUGCACUUCAAUCAAAAUUGGCUUACAUUCAAUUUCCCCAACGAUUUCAUGGCCUUAACCAAACUGACAUCUAUGCUUCUGAGUAUAAACGAGAGUUUCAAAUUAAUACUAUGGGUUUAGAUGGGCUAAUAGGUCCAGGUUAUAUGGGAUCAGGUUGCUUCUUUCGCCGACGAGCUUUUUUCGGCGGCCCAUCAACUUUGGUGCAGCCGGAAAUCCCUGAACUCAGCCCAGACCAUGUGGUAGACAAGCCCAUUAAUUCUCGAGAAAUUUUGUCAUUGGCACACAAUGUAGCAGGUUGCGACUAUGAGAACCAAACCGAACAUUGGGGCUUCAAGGUAAGCUCACCAGUCAUUCUCCAAAACACUGUCUAUCAAAAAGCUUUAAAUUACAAUCAAUAUGUUAAGAUUGUUUCUUGAUAUGUAUGCAGAAUGGGUUUAGAUAUGGAUCUUUGGUUGAGGACUUUUACACAGGAUAUCGGCUUCAGUGUGAAGGAUGGAAGAGCUUAUUCUGCCAUCCUGAGAGGGCUGCAUUUUUAGGGGAUGUGCCAAUUACCCUUUUAGAUUUACUUAGUCAAUGCAAUAGAUGGUGCAUCGGCCUUUUAGAAGUGGCCUUUUCCAAAUUUAACACUCUCAUCUUCGGUUCUCGUUCUAUGGGCCUUUUGAUGGGAUUAGCUUAUUCUCACUAUGCAUUUUGGCCUAUCUGGUGCAUUCCGGUCACCCUUUAUUCUUUCGUCCCCCAAUUAGCUUUGCUUAACAAAGUCAGCAUCUUCCCAAAGGUAUGAGCAUUGAUGAAAUUAUAUGAUUAUUUAUUUGAAUUCAGUUUAUUAAUUUGUUGAAGCCAAAAAUGAAAGCAAGAAAAAAAAUCGUGUUACAGGUAUCAGAACCAUGGUGUUUCUUAUAUGUUUUUCUUUUCCUCGGCGCUUAUGGGCAAGAUUUACUUGACUUUGUCCUAGCUAGAGGCACUGUCCAAAGGUGGUGGAAUGCUCAAAGGAUGUGGAUGAUAAGGGCGCUUUCAUGUUACUUGUUCAGUUCAGUUGAGUACCUGCUCAAGUCCUUAAGGAUUUCCACUCAUGCUUUUAGCCUAACAAGCAAGGUGCUUGAUGAUGAACAAAGUAAGAGAUAUGGCCAAGGCAUCUUUGAGUUCGGAGUCCCCUCCCCCUUGUUUGUGCCAUUGACAAUGGCAGCAAUAAUCAACUUAUUCUCAUUCGCAUGGGGAUUGACCGAGUUUUGGGAUAAUGGCAACAAAGAAGGCCUCGCUUUGCAGAUGGUAUUAGCAGGAUUCAUUGUUUUGAAUUGCUUGCCAAUUUAUGGAGCCAUUGCCUUGAGGAGUGACAAAGGAAAAAUGCCCACCCAAAUUAUAGUCAUUUCAACAUUUCUGUCUGUGGCUCUUUAUACUUUCGCUUAUCUCAUUCUCAAGCAAUAACUCUAAUUAGGCAAGCUUUUUCUUUUUUUUUUCUUUUUUGAAUCAAAUAAUUAGAAUCCUUGCUUUAUAUUUCUCCUCUAAUGUUUGCUUUAUAUACAAUAUUUUAAAAAAAAGAUUGAAGGUAAUCAUAUAUCUAGUUGCUCACUUCCUGUCUUUCACUUUCAUCUUGCUUUCAUUUGCUAGUAACCCCAAAAAGUAUGAUCUGUCUCUUAUUUCUCAUCAUUAAUGUUUGGCUUCGCCUUGAGAUAUACAACCAUUGAUCAGUGCAAAUUGCAAAGCGGUUCACAUGGACACAUUUUUGAGACACUCUAUUUCGUUUUCAUUUCCCAGUAAUCAUUUAGGUGAAAUAUAUCUCAUCAAUUUAGAAAGUCAGCAGAGCAGAUAUCAUUGAUAUAUUAAAUCAAUUACAGAAAUUUGUGAAAAAUAUCAUUUUCAUAACUUGAUUUUAAAAAUAAUCAUUAAAAUAAAAUUAAUUAUUUUCUCUUUGCUUUCACACAUAUAAAGUGUAAUAUGCUGAAUAAAAUCAAUUAGUACAGUUAUUCAGACAAAGAAACCUUUAUAAAUCAGCCCUUCAUACCCACUAACUUUAUCAUGCUAUCAUUUCAGUGGACAACCUUUGUUUUAGUCAAUUCAACACUCCAAUUAAAGAUUAGGAUUUGUCUUAAACUUGACGCCUAAGCCAUAUGUAUCUAGACAAUUAAUGAACCUGUGCAUGAAUCCAAAGAAACCUGAAGUAAAGCGGUAACAAUGUUGGUCAUCAUUUCAACUAUACAAGAAAUAAAUAACAAGGCACAUCUUUCAAAGCUUUUUAUUCUAACUUAAUUUCUUAAAGAACCAAAGAGAUGGAACUUAAUCACAAGGCUUCUUCUGUGCUUGCAUAGGUCAAGUCCCAUAUGUCAUACAUUUGUUGUUUUGGCUUACAUACAUAAAUAAAUAAAUAAAUAUAUAUUGCUUUAUAUAUUUAUUAAUUAGGCUUUGCGGCUGUAUGUUCCUAUAAGCUUUUUUUUGGUGUUUUUUGAUAAUUGCCACAAUCAUUUAUAAAGUUACAAUUAUGGAUAAGCAAAAUUACUACAUAUCCACUUGCUCUUGGUAUGCUAAAAUCAAUUCAUCAGCAAUUUUAUCCUAUUUAGAAACAUUCGAGUGAUGUUCAAAGUAAGAGAUGCUUCAGGAUAAUACCACUUCUAAUACUAAUCUUAUUGUAGAUGAUGUACGAGAUUAUGAAAGUGAAGGUAGAAUACAUUGUUGAUAAAGGGGAAAUUAGUGAUGAAUACAUUGUAGACAAUGCAUAUAGAGAAGCUUGUAGUAAAUGGACUGACGGGUUUACUCGUAUGGAUCAUCCUACUGUCGCUCAAGUGAUUUACGUUAAAGAUUAGAGCUAAAAUCAAUCAUAAAUUAAAUUAUUCAGGAGAAAUAAAAGUAUUAGCUAGUACCUACUUUGACAAGGUCAAUUUACUGGUGCCACAUGAACUGUGAGUAGGUUAUCUUAGAUAAGAGCAAAGACAAAUAUGUUUCAGGCAAUUUCUUGCCAAAUCUCAUUUAUGUCUCACGACAGAAAAGCAAGACUUCUCCUCACCACUUCAAAGCUGGAGCUCUAAAUGUUCUGGUAUGGGUUAGAUGAUCUAACGACUUAUUCUGGUAUCUUAUCCAAUUGAUUAGUUUUUAUAUUAUGCUUUCUAAUUCUCUCUUAAAAUUUGGAAUGUUU
RNAcentral lists this long non-coding RNA (3482 nucleotides) under Theobroma cacao (cacao). RNAcentral describes it as "long non-coding RNA (TCAC_LNC002204)". The record is from RNAcentral. Lineage: Eukaryota; Viridiplantae; Streptophyta; Magnoliopsida; Malvales; Malvaceae.